Molecule: ribosomal RNA, 468 nt
Filed under: uncultured bacterium
Lineage: Bacteria
Description: partial 16S ribosomal RNA
Rfam family: Bacterial small subunit ribosomal RNA
Source: RNAcentral
GACGAACGCUGGCGGCGUGCUUAACACAUGCAAGUCGAACGGAAAGGCCCUGCUUUUGUGUGGUGCUCGAGUGGCGAACGGGUGAGUAACACGUGAGUAACCUGCCCUUGACUUUGGGAUAACUUCAGGAAACUGGGGCUAAUACCGGAUAGGAGCUCCUGCUGCAUGGUGGGGGUUGGAAAGUUUCGGCGGUUGGGGAUGGACUCGCGGCUUAUCAGCUUGUUGGUGGGGUAGUGGCUUACCAAGGCUUUGACGGGUAGCCGGCCUGAGUGGGUGACCGGCCACAUUGGGACUGAGAUACGGCCCAGACUCCUACGGGAGGCAGCAGUGGGGAAUAUUGUACAAUGGGCGGAAGCCUGAUGCGGCAACGCCGCGUGCGGGAUGACGGCCUUCGGGUUGUAAACCGCUUUCGCCUGUGACGAAGCGUGAGUGACGGUAAUGGGUAAAGAAGCACCGGCUAACUACGUG